RNAcentral lists this long non-coding RNA (2255 nucleotides) under Nicotiana benthamiana. RNAcentral's name for it is "long non-coding RNA (NBEN_LNC003771)". Lineage: Eukaryota; Viridiplantae; Streptophyta; Magnoliopsida; Solanales; Solanaceae. The record is from RNAcentral.
UCUGAGCAAGUUGGGUGGGUUAGAUGAGUUUGGACUCAAAUUGACAUCCCUGUUUAUAUGAAAAAAGCCGUGAAUCCAAUCAAUGAUUAAAGUUCGAUGGUAUGAACAAAUUGCAGAAUUUGAUGUCUAUUUUCUUAUCUGAACUUAGCAUCUGAAAACUUUUAAGGAAAUAUACUCUUCACUUACCUCUAGUUGUAGUUCUCUUCAUCUCAACAACAGCCUGACGACCUCCAAUGGUAAUGGGUGAAGCCUAAAUAAAAGAAUUAUCACGGAAAAACAACCCCAGGAAUUUAGCAGUAGUUUUAAAUCAUCAGCAUGUUUAAAUUAUUAUAUAACAGAAAAGAAUCAUCUAAUAAGCUGAGUAGCAAGAUAACUAAGGACAAAAGAUAGAGAAGAUUAUUUUCUCCCAUAUAUUAUGUAUAGCUAAUCUUCAUAUUCCUGAUUACUACUUCAGGCAAAGAUUUGUUUUGACCUAAAGAAGUCCAUGGCUGCAGAAUCAGGAUUUAAUAUAGAGCUAUACUGGAAUAUCAGACAUAGGCACAUAGUAGAGGCACUAACUGAACAAAUUGUGGCUCUUCUGCGGCAGUGAUAGCAGAACUGCACACUGAAUCAAGGUCUACACAUGCUUUAGCCUUGAAUAAACAUUGUAUCGUUAGAUUGUAGUGACUGCAUUGAUAUGGUGUGACAUGCACAUUAUGCUCCAUCUAUAAACAUAGAUUUCCAAUCACCUCCUGGAGGCUGCAGUCUGGUUUGAAACAGUUCUCUUAAUUUAAUAUGUGAACUCUAUGUAGCAGAAAAUCAGGGAAUCCUGAACAAACCAUCCAAUCGAAGUGUUUUUGUAACAGUAGUACCACGACUCUCAACCACUUAUCAAAACACAAUCUCAUAUUUCCAACACAAGAAACCUACCUGUAAUAAGUUGCACAUAAAUUUCAAACCCUUCUGGAUAAUAUACCAAAAAUGAGAAGGAAAUGUAAAGCUGAAACUCUUCAUCACAUUCCCCACUCCAACAGGUGAACAACUCUUCCCAGAGCUCAACUUUCACAAAACCCUUCUGGAUAAUAUACCAAAAAUGAGAAGGAAAUGUAAAGCUGAAACUCUUCAUCACAUUCCCCACUCCAACAGGUGAACAACUCUUCCCAGAGCUCAACUUUCACAAAACCCUUCUGGAUAAUAUACCAAAAAUGAGAAGGAAAUGUAAAGCUGAAACUCUUCAUCACAUUCCCCACUCCAACAGGUGAACAACUCUUCCCAGAGCUCAACUUUCACAAAAGUGGAAGUACACUAAACAUAAAUCCUCUGCAUAUAUGUGAUAAGAAAAACGUCCCUAUGAUUUUCAUAGAUACCAUAGGGGGAAUCAUGAUCUUCGUCCAGGCAGCACUUGAUUCUCAGUAUAGAUGACACCUUGACCGUCGACUCUAUAGUAGGUUAUUUUGAUGAGCCAAUGAGUUUUUUUCCUCGUCCAUUUCAAAAAUGAUUUUUUUCCCUUGUUCCAGGAUACAGUACGCCAACAUGUUAAGUGCCACUUAUACAAACUAUAAACUACUAGGGAUAAUCAUUUUACAAUUAGAGGCAAUUCAAUUAAUUUCAUUUUGAAGUUUUCGUUCAUUAGAACUUUUCAUUCUAGUUCCGAGUUACAGUUUCUAAAAUAAGCAUGGUCAUUAGCUGACUUCUUCUAGUUCAACCCAAAAAAUUUGAUUUUCUAACACAAUUAAUAUUUUCAAACUGUGGUGUAUUCAUUAAUAUGUACAAACAUAUACGUGUGUGUACACAUACACAUAUAUCAGUUGCUGUAAAAUACUCAUGCUUUGGUUGUAGGAGCUUCUGAGGACGGGAGAAAAUUGUGGAAUUAUAUGAAAGAGUCUCGGGAGCUGGGCACUAGUCAAAGUAGUAAAAAUGGACAAGUGGGCAAGUAGCGAGCAAGAGUAGUUAAUGUAUUCUAAGCCUGCAUGUUUGAUUUUGCUCUCUAGCGGACUAGCAUAAACCUUCUCAGACAGCUUGAGGAUGAUAGGCCCCUAUAAAUAAACAGUAGUUAUUUCGAUAAAUAUGCUGAACAGCACACAUAUCAAAAUCUGGCAACCAUUAUAUGCCAAAUAGAACUAACAUAAAAAACUGGCACGUUAUACUCUUUAUGGUGAUCAAGGUUCCAUCAUGCAUCUUCUUGAAAAGACUAAUGAGCAACAUAUCAUACUAACAUGUCUAGGAAGACGAUACAUUUUAAAUUCUAGUGAAGAUAGAGUAUGCAAUGAUAUUUC